GAGACCCACGCCAACAGUUGCCAGCAUGUCCUCCGGGAUGGUGGGGACACUGUUGGGACCGCCUCUGCUAAAGAGGAGGAAGGAAUGGGCAACGGUAGGUCAGCAUGCCCCGAAUUAUCCGGGCUACACGCGGGCUACAAUGGGCAGGACAAUGGGUUUCGACACCGAAAGGUGAGGUCAAUCUCUUAAACCAGUUCUUAGUCCGGAUUGAGGGCUGUAACUCGCCCUCAUGAAGAUGGAAUCCGUAGUAAUCGCAUUUCAAAACAGUGCGGUGAAUAC
This 279-nucleotide ribosomal RNA is filed under the name uncultured methanogenic archaeon. Its description in RNAcentral is "partial 16S rRNA". It matches the Rfam family "Archaeal small subunit ribosomal RNA", at positions 1047 to 1325 of the family's 1478-position model. Lineage: Archaea; Methanobacteriati; Methanobacteriota. The record is from RNAcentral.